GCCAGGCGUGGUGGCGGGUGCCUGUAGUCCCAGCUACUGGGGAGGCUGAGGCAGGAGAAUGGUGUGAACCUGGGAGGCGGAGCUUGCAGUGAGUUGAGAUCGCGUCACUGCACUCCAACCUGGGGGACAGAGCGAGACUCUGUCUCAAAAAAAAGAAAAAAAAAAAAGAAAAAUGGUCUCGUUAACUUUCACUUUUUUUUGAGACGGAGUCUUGCUCUGUCGCCCAGGGUGGAGUGUAGUGGCGCAAUCUCGCUCACUGCAGCCUCCGCCUCCUGGGUUCAAACAAUUCUCCUGCCUCAG
This 300-nucleotide signal recognition particle RNA is filed under the name Gorilla gorilla gorilla (western lowland gorilla). Its description in RNAcentral is "Metazoan signal recognition particle RNA". It matches the Rfam family "Metazoan signal recognition particle RNA". Rfam says of the family: The signal recognition particle (SRP) is a universally conserved ribonucleoprotein. It is involved in the co-translational targeting of proteins to membranes. Lineage: Eukaryota; Metazoa; Chordata; Mammalia; Primates; Hominidae. The record is from Rfam by way of RNAcentral.